UACGUAGGGCGCAAGCGUUGUCCGGAAUUAUUGGGCGUAAAGAGCUCGUAGGCUGCUUGUCGCGUCGGUUGUGAAAGCCCGGGGCUUAACCCCGGGUCUGCAGUCGAUACGGGCAGGCUAGAGUUCGGUAGGGGAGAUCGGAAUUCCUGGUGUAGCGGUGAAAUGCGCAGAUAUCAGGAGGAACACCCGUGGCGAAAGCGGCUCUCUGGGACGGUACUGACGCUGAGACGCGAAAGCGUGGGGAGCAAACAGG
RNAcentral lists this ribosomal RNA (253 nucleotides) under uncultured bacterium. RNAcentral's name for it is "partial 16S ribosomal RNA". It matches the Rfam family "Bacterial small subunit ribosomal RNA", at positions 524 to 776 of the family's 1533-position model. The record is from RNAcentral.